UGCUGAGACAGUGGAGAUUCAUUACUCCUAAAACACAAUGGACAUUUAUCACCCUGUGGUGUUAUUCAAAUUCAGUACCAAUUGAAGGCCAUCCCCAUUCUUUGCUAUCUUCCUCGGCAACACACUUAUUGUUGGGGCGCUCAAGAAAAAGCCUCCACGAGUCCAAGCAAGCAUUUAAAAAGCAAGCAGCAUCUAUUGCCUCGACGGUGAGGACUUCCAAAGGCUUCAGAUAGGCUGUUAUUUAACCUGCCCACUCUAGGUUAGAUUUAAAAGGCAUUCCACUGCAGAAUCCAGAUCUAAUUUUGUUUUGUGGAUGGCUCCUGUUUUCGAAGAGAUGAUGGUGAACUUGUAGCAGCCUCUUCCAUUUGUACACAAGACAGACUUGUGUUAGCUGAACAAUUAAACAGGAACUCAUGGACUUAUCUUUUCAGAAUCAGGCAGAAGAUUCUGAAAGAACGAGGUGGAUAAAUGAUGGCUGCAGUCAGUAUCUCGACCUUUUGUGGUGCCACCCACAUGGACAAUUAGUAGCCUCACAAAAUUUCUAACUCAUUUGGUCUAAGCCUACCAUUUACCUUUUCAUUACGGUAAAAUACUUUAAACAGAUUUUCUGUGAUUGGUAUGCCCCUCACCUUUCAGAAGUUGCUCAACAUUUUGUAAAUACUUGUGUAAUUUCCUUAGGACACAACGUAUCUGAAUCUGUACUUGUACCUAUUCAAACACUGAAAAAACAUUGUGGGCUAUUUUGCUCCACGCAAUAGGACUUUAUUGAACUUCAAGUGCAAAAAUUUAAAUUUACAUUGGUGGUAGUUGACACUUUUUCUGGAUAGGUAGAGGCUACCAAGUAUAAAAAAAUGAUGCAAGGACAGUAGCUAAGAAAUUACAGAAUUGAUCCCAAGAUUUGGGGUUCAUUGUUGCAUUCAAUCAGAUCAGGGUACUCACUUUACUAGUCAAGUAAUAUAGCAGAUUUGUAAAAUUUGAAAUAUGAAUUUGCAGUUUCAUUGUCCCUACAGACCAUCACCUUCAGGAAUUGUGAAACUGGCUAAUCAGUCAAUCAAAACCCAUUUAGCCAAAAUUUGUUAGGAGAAUGAUCUUAAGUGGCCAGAAACUUUGCCCUUAGUUUUAUUUAGUAUGGGAAAUGCUGCCACUACCAUUAGAGAACUAUCCCUCAUUAAAUUCUUGGACAGGCCCAUGAGAAUGCCUGUUGAACCCCUCCCCAAGAAACUGGAAUUACAAGAUGUUGACGAAUAUGUUUUUUUUGUAUUGAAAAUCUCUCUAUUCCGUCUUGCAGAAUUACCAUAAAUCUGCCGUACAUGCAGUAGAACGACAUAUAAAACAAGAAAAUCAUGAAUCGCAGCCCAGACAUUCUGUCUACAUUAAAGUACAUUCCCAGAGUCAUACACAGCUCCAGAUGGCAGGGACCCUACUUGGUUUUGCUCACAACUGCUACUAACAUCUGUUGUGAGGCCCAUCUGGAUAUAUGUGUCUCAUGUCAAGAACACCCUCACUCAAGAUAAGUGCAGAUGAGACUCCAUUGACAUCAUUCCACAUGAAGCAGCACAACCAUAUGAAAAAACAGGGACACCAUUAUAUCCUCAAGUGACAGUCAAUGAUGUUUUACUAUCCAGACCAAAUUCAGAACUGAAUAUUAACUAUCUGUCAUCCAAAUGGAUUCCAGAUUCACCAUCCAGAUCAAAUCCAGAAGUGAAUGCAGCUAAGUUACCAUUUGUACUAGACCAUGAAGUGAAAUCAUAUGACUCCUGGUCUGAUGUAAACUAGUGAUUUGUUUUUUUUUUAAUCAUCAACAAUGUUUUUUCUUGCUUCUGAAUCUAACAUUGAAGAUUCAUCAUGCCUUUAGGACAGUGAAAAAGAUACAUUCUGUUUGGAUAAAUGUAUUAUUUGUGAAGCUGUCUGAAAUCAACACUUUUGGUCAGAGAUUAUUUGGUGAUCGAUUUCAUAUGGACUAUGAACAAACAACUCAACACCCAUCUUUGCAGUUUCUUCAAAUCACUCUCCAGCCUGAAUAUACUUGUUUUUUCUUAUGGACCUACUUUUGGGACAGCUGCUAUGAUUCUCAACAUUAUUAUAUUUUGCUUGCUUUUGCCAUCUGGAACUGUGAGUACAUCAUCUGCAACCACUGGGACUAUAAGUACUGAACCAUUUCUUAAUAUACAUACAUUUAUUGCUAAAAAUAGAGACAAACAUUUGGUUAGAGUUGAAUCAUGAACACCUAAAUGGCAUCCACAAUUUAAUACUUUUUUGCUGCCUUGUACACUUAUGCACAGACUCUGAAUAUUAAUGGUUGUUGGGUUUCUGCACAUAUACCUACUGCAGAUGAUGGCGGUAUUACAUUGAUCCCUAUACCAGUGACUGAUACAGAGCUUCAUACUCAUUUCAAACAGUUUUUAUCCCUAAAAAGUCAAAAUGCUAAACAUGCUGUUUCAACUAUCAAUGACCUAAAGGUCAUAUUUGCUAUUAUAAAAAUGGAACAUUAUUUCUGGAAAUAGUGUUUGCAAUUUUACUUGGAUAAUUUAUGAUGGGGGCUGGAGGGCACGGUAUGAUUUCAUAAAUAUUAUAUUUGUGGAAAUCAAGCUUAGCUCUGGUUACCUACAGAAUGGUCUGUGUUUUUUUUUUUUUUUGUAUAGGUUGUGUUAUACCAGCUAAGCGACAUACAGCAGUUUAACCUGAAGGAAAGCUUUGUAAUGCUCAUCACAGAAGAGAUACUAAAGACAUUCCAAACCCAUCUGGAAAAAUAGAUGCUUCCUGGGUUUAUCAUAAUACUGCUCAAAAGACUUGCUCACAUAGAUCUUAGUGGUUCAGUCAUUUCUGGAGCAGGAAUUAUUCCUGCUUAUGGGGAGGUAAAAUCCAUUUGGAAGUGGAAAAAAAACUGUCUGAGCUUUUAGAAAUUUUAUAUAGCUCCACCUUUGAGUUCAUUAAUUUGAUUACUCAAGAAAUGACUGCCAUAUGCAGUGUGCCACUUGAUUACACCCUUGCAUCUAAAGAGGGGUACAUGUGCAUUCAUCUAAAAGGUGUGCUGCUCAUUUAUUCUCGAUAAUACUGGUACUAUUCAUAGUUGCCUAGACGUAAUUCAAAAAGUUGUUGAAAUUUCACGUUAAAGAAACUGAUAGUUCCCAGUGGACAUGGUUAACUAAUCUUUUCUCUGGAUGGGGAGGAGGCAUUUUGAAAUUAUUUAUGCUCAUAGCUAUUUCAGUCGUAUUAUUAGGCCUUAUUUUACUUCUGUUAAAAGCUUGUAUUUUAAAGCUAUUAGAAUUUAAAAGAGGUGUCACCUUAAAACUGAAUCAAGUUAAAUCAAUGCCACAGACCAUAUUAAAUAAAAUCAUUGUUCAUUAAAGAAUGACAAUAAAGUUUUACAAGAUUUUAGCAGAUUGUAAUUUUAAUAUAUAUAAGUGGGAAUGUGAAAACAAAUAUUAAAGUUGUAAUGUAUAUAUAACUGAGAAUUAUUUAUAGUGUUCCAGUUGUGUUUUCAUUCCAUCAAGACAUAGACAUGUUUUAUUGCUAAUAAAACCAUAUUUUUGAAAGGACUGUAUAAAAUCAGUUGGGCUAGAAACAGAAGGAUAUUUCACACAAAGUGUGUUUCACAGCAAGUGAAAAAGUGUCCUCUCAUCUAAAAACCUGUAGUCAUUAUACAGUCAUAAAGAAGUAUAUGAUGUGAGUGGUGCUUUACAGUAUCAGAUAGGAGGAAUGUGAAGGGU
This is a long non-coding RNA of Protopterus annectens (West African lungfish), 3710 nucleotides long. RefSeq lists it as uncharacterized. Lineage: Eukaryota; Metazoa; Chordata; Ceratodontiformes; Protopteridae. The transcript is spliced from 3 exons. The record is from RefSeq and is a predicted model, not a curated record.